This is a long non-coding RNA of Cygnus olor (mute swan), 2844 nucleotides long. RefSeq lists it as uncharacterized. The transcript is spliced from 3 exons. The record is from RefSeq and is a predicted model, not a curated record. NCBI's taxonomy places the organism in Eukaryota, Metazoa, Chordata, Aves, Anseriformes, Anatidae.
UUUUUUUUCUGUUUUGUAGGUAGCUGAAGGUGAUAACUCUUCCACUGUUGAGCAUCAGAGAAAUCCCAGGAGUUCCUAAAUUUGCCACAGGAUACCUGUUCUCUGGGAGCCCCGUGGGAUACUUGGCACAGCCUCAGCACCCGGAGGAGGGCAGUGGGACCCGGGCUGAGAGAGCUCACAGCAGCAGCUGGCUCAGCCCCGUUCAGCAGGAUUUUGGGGUCUGCCUGCAAAUCCGUCUCCUCGGGCUGCUGCACUGGAGUUUCAGAGUGGAGAAAACUUCCUAUCCUGAACACUUGUAAAGGAUUUGUUUUUUCUAAAGUUUCAGUAGGAGUGAUUAAUUGCUUUGUCACAGGCCGUAACAUGGACAUGUGCUCUUAAGUAGUCAUCUUUCUCACUCGUAUACAGUAACCAUCAGAAAACUUCUCUUUGUGUCCAAGACAAUUCACGGGGAGCUAACAAGCCUGCUCUCCCACUCGUAAACUUCAGUUUCAACAUCGCGUGUGAGACAUGUGAAAAGUGGCCCACAGCCUGUAUCUCCUGGCUUCUGUGUGCCAGGGCACGGGGAGGUUUGUGUCCAACUUGCAGUGUGUGUGGCAGGGAGUCAGUCACUUCCACUCGAAUGGAAACUGGUUUUGAAAAAUACUUGCCCGAGAGCAAAGCUGGAAGUAAUUAUAGCACAUGAGACCAAAGUUGGAACCGUUGCUGAUAGGCAAUGAAAAACAACUGUCCGUUGAAGGCAGUGCCCAUCCUUUUCUCUUUAUCACAGUGUCUGGUUUAGUCGGUUGGCAGUAAUCGCAGCAGUUAGCAUUUCUCAGCGUUGGAGCCUUUCAGGUUUCAUUCCUUCAGUGCCAUAACUACUGGACUUCCUGACCUGUGCUUUAAAGCCCCUCUUGAGGUGUUGCAAGGCGAUAGUUUAGGGAAGAAAUAUGUUCAUUACGCUCGCUUUUACUCCUUUUUUCUCUGCUUAUGGAAUCUACAGCAAUUGCACAAUAGCAACUGAUAAGGAGCCCUGUGAUCUUAAGUGGAGUUACAGUGACGUACACAAGCCUGUCGCAGUGGUGCCUAAGGGUUUGCAGUUACCUUCAGCAUAUUUACUGCAUCCAAAGCAGGCCGGAUGAAAAUGGAUUCUUGGGGUGGGUAUUCACCGGGCAUAUAUCCAUGCUGCCAUCUUUGCUUCUUUUUGGUAUUGCUCAAGACCAUUUGUCAGUGCAUCACAGUUCAACGUGCUAUUUUUCUUCCUUUGCCUUUUAUCUGAGCCAAUGCCUGCAAAAAGUUUUGCAUAAGGCUGUUAGCAAAAUUCCUACCCAUAGCCACCUACGCUCCUGCUGAAGCCUCUGGCUGAGCAAUCCUGCUGACUUCGGUAGGAAAGGCAGCAGCUACAGACUGCAGCUGAAUCCUGAGAGGUAACAAGUCUGCAGUCAGGCUGUGACUCCCAACAGAAGCAGUUAAUAAACUCGUCACCCAGGAAGGAUGUGUGUGCUUAGUGGGUGCAGGAUGCCCUGAACAGUGGGGCACGGGUCUCCUCUCCCAGCUCCCUUUGCAAACUGGUGUGGAACAGUGCAUCUGGCACAUUGUUAAGCACUUUGUGAUGCAAGGCUGGUCCUUUGCUCUCUAAAGCUGCUUUGUGUGAACAGACUGUAUGCUUUCCCCUGGCCCUUGCGUGUGGCUUGAAACAUGAGGAUGGUUCUGGUGGAGGUACACUUGAACACCUUGAGAUUAGCCAUUUGGAAGUCUGAUUUCUCCAUGCCUUUUAGAGCAGCAGUUCUUUCCAAGGAUUCAUUAGUAUGCUGCUGUGUCACCUCCCAAAUGCUUUUCAUCUUUGGGUAGCUGUGCCCGUUACUACAGGCUUGCCAAACAUCUCAGAUCUUUGCCAUUGUUACAGCUGAUCCAUAUUCCUAUGGAUGAUUUUGCAUUUCAGUGUUGUGAAAUUUCAGAAGGGACUCAACUUGCCUUAGUCUUGCCUUCUGCUCAUUAGUCGUUUCUGGAGACAUCCCUGCUGAAGCAUGCUGAACUCUGACAGGUAAUAGGGCUGCAAUCAGAGGAGGCAAAAAAGUGUUCUCUGCAAAAACUCUUCCUCCCCUUGUUCUCCUUUCUCCAAGAAAAAAUACAUGAGCUGGAGGAUGCUGAAUCCAAACAGCAGAAGGUGUUGGGUCCCGCUCACCUCCCCAGGAGAAUGGGGAGUGACAGGUUUAAACUCCCUAUUGCUCUCCUGGCUUGCUGGGAGAGUUGUGUACAGCCUUGUGUCAGAGGCGUGUGAAUCUACCCAAAUCCUGCAUGUCUGUUCAUGUGACAAGCAGUGUUCUUUAACCCUGGAUUGGUGUGAAAGCAAGCUGCCCGAAGAAAGAACUGGAGUCAGAGGAGAAGGAAGCAUUGCUCCACCAGAAGCUGGGAGGUCUCCACUCACUGCUCUUAUUUUUAUGCUUUCCAAAGAAUGGACAGGGAGAGCGUGAGACUCCAUUCAUAAAUAAAAUCCUUUAUGUAGUUUGCAAACUCAGGCAAUUACAUUUGUGCUCAACUAGUGUUAAGCCACUGAAGAUUCAGUGCAAGUGCAUUCAAAUUUCCCUCUCUCCAGUCUAAAACCAUUUAUCUCAAGUGAGACCGGGAGGUAGCCUCUUGUGAAAAUACCUGCUGGCGAACAAGUCAUCUGCUAAAGAAAAUAAGUGCUUCUUUUACAACAGUAUUUUAAAGAUUUCUGUAUGUGCUUUCUUGUGAGAAAGUGUUUUCUGCAAGGAUCUUGUGGUUCCUUUGGCGAGAGAUGACUUGACAAAUGUGCUGUCCCUGUAAACAGAACAGAUGUGUUUCAAAACUGAAGUCUUUUGAUCCGUGUAGAAGGGAUGGAUUUCC